This 77-nucleotide transfer RNA is filed under the name Candidatus Avelusimicrobium excrementipullorum. RNAcentral describes it as "tRNA-His". It matches the Rfam family "tRNA". From Rfam's summary of the family: Transfer RNA (tRNA) molecules are approximately 80 nucleotides in length. Their secondary structure includes four short double-helical elements and three loops (D, anti-codon, and T loops). Further hydrogen bonds mediate the characteristic L-shaped molecular structure. tRNAs have two regions of fundamental functional importance: the anti-codon, which is responsible for specific mRNA codon recognition, and the 3' end, to which the tRNAs corresponding amino acid is attached (by aminoacyl-tRNA synthetases). tRNAs cope with the degeneracy of the genetic code in two manners: having more than one tRNA (with a specific anti-codon) for a particular amino acid; and 'wobble' base-pairing, i.e. permitting non-standard base-pairing at the 3rd anti-codon position. The record is from RNAcentral. Lineage: Bacteria; Pseudomonadati; Elusimicrobiota; Elusimicrobia; Elusimicrobiales; Elusimicrobiaceae.
GUGGAUGUAGCUCAGUUGGUUAGAGCGCCGGUCUGUGGAACCGGAGGUCGCGGGUUCAAGUCUCGUCAUCCACCCCA